UUUUUAUUUUCUGUGUUCUUGUUGCUCUGGCAUUUGAUGACCUGGCUAAAUUCAGACUACCAAAGAAGCACAUGAUUACCAGUGCUGAAAUGUGGAGGUAAUUUAACUGUGAUUAGAAUACUAAGAAUCACUUUAUUAUAUAAUUUGCACUUAUCUUUGGAAAAAAUUUUUGAAAAAAGUCUACAAUAUGUAAUCACAUUGCUUACACUCUUGUUGGGAGGGCUAACAGGUAUGAGGCAGUGAAAGAAUAGUAAAAAUAGUAUUUUUGGUAAAAGCUUUGAUGUAGCACUUUACAGCUUAUAGGACAUCAGAAAAAGGGAAUCUAGAGGAAGCAGAGUAGUUAGUAAAACUUUCAUCAAUGAGAUGAAGUACGGUUUACAUCUUGAAAGAUGUGUAAUAAUUGCUAAGCCUCACAGAAAGAGGGAUGAGAGGUUCACCAUGGGAAGUGAAACAUUAAAUAAUAUGGUGGUUAUUAUUUGGGUAGAAGAGAGAGGGGAGGCUGGUGGGUGAAUGGGAUGGGAGUAUUUUACCACAGUGGAUAAUUGGUUUUGUCAAGAGUGAUGGAUAGUAGACCUACAGUUUGGAAAGUCAGAAAGACUGAGAAAUUUCCCUUUAAUCUGGUAGAUAGUACUCAAUUUGAAAACUUUUUCUUUCCAAACCAGCAACAGCAUGUUCGAAAAAUGUUGUUCGUUAGCAAACUAAAACAUCUUAGUAAAAAUUAAGGCUAAAAAUCAUAG
This 737-nucleotide long non-coding RNA is filed under the name Pan troglodytes (chimpanzee). RNAcentral's name for it is "long non-coding RNA NONPTRT011915". Lineage: Eukaryota; Metazoa; Chordata; Mammalia; Primates; Hominidae. The record is from RNAcentral.